Long non-coding RNA from Drosophila pseudoobscura, 766 nucleotides. RefSeq lists it as uncharacterized. The transcript is spliced from 2 exons. The record is from RefSeq and is a predicted model, not a curated record. NCBI's taxonomy places the organism in Eukaryota, Metazoa, Arthropoda, Insecta, Diptera, Drosophilidae.
AAUGCUGUAAAUAGUUCGCCUGACCAAUCACAGAUGGCGCUGUCUUGAUUGUUUUGUGAAGGAGUUUAUGUGCAAAAAUUCAAUUAAAAACGUGUUUAAAUAAAUAAUUUAGCAAAUUAAAUCUAUAAACCUUUGGAUAUAUUGCUUAUUUUAAAAAUAAUUCUUUGCAAAUUGAUACACCUCUGUGCAAUCCGACAUCCUCGCAAGACGCAAGUUGGCAGCACUGGCUAGAAUCUCCCGUGGAGAACAUCGCGUUUUUGUUGUUCACUCAAAAGUUUUAAUAAACAUUUUAUAACUUUUAACGCUCAAUCCAUCGGUUUAGUUCCGGUCUUAAAUGUUGUACCAGUGCCACCCGCUGUCAAUCCCAUGCCACGUGCCGCGUAAUUUCCUCAAACUUCACCAGCUGCAGCAACAAUAACACGACAACAACGCUGGCGACCAAUAAAAAAUUAUACCAGCAACAAAAACAACAACAACAUUAAUCAGGCGCUGAGAAUUCUCUCAAAAAGAAUAAGUGAUUCUUGACACCACUAUAAUUUAAUGAUCUUUCUUUAAUUGAAACUGUUUUCCGUAAAUCUGGGCAAUCUUGUUUCUUUAGAUCUAAAAUAUGACUCGAGCAAAUUUUAGAAAAACUGCCAUGGAUCUUUGAUCAAAACUAAACCGAUUUAAAUUUAAUUCUGCAAUUCAAUUUAUUAAAAUUGACCCUAUUUUAAUGAUAGCUGUAAAAAUGUAAAAAUAAAAAUCACUUCAGUGAAAGUCAAUUGUG